This 77-nucleotide small RNA is filed under the name Xanthomonas populi. RNAcentral describes it as "sX9 sRNA". It matches the Rfam family "Xanthomonas sRNA sX9". The record is from RNAcentral. Lineage: Bacteria; Pseudomonadati; Pseudomonadota; Gammaproteobacteria; Lysobacterales; Lysobacteraceae.
AUGUAGCACUCGUACACUCCGGUUCUGAGCGCGCCGUCCGCACCCACCUGACGACUGCUCGCUACGUUUUGUUAGCC